Molecule: ribosomal RNA, 458 nt
Filed under: Staphylococcus aureus
Lineage: Bacteria; Bacillati; Bacillota; Bacilli; Caryophanales; Staphylococcaceae
Description: bacterial SSU rRNA
Rfam family: Bacterial small subunit ribosomal RNA
Source: RNAcentral
UUGGGUUAAGUCCCGCAACGAGCGCAACCCUUAAGCUUAGUUGCCAUCAUUAAGUUGGGCACUCUAAGUUGACUGCCGGUGACAAACCGGAGGAAGGUGGGGAUGACGUCAAAUCAUCAUGCCCCUUAUGAUUUGGGCUACACACGUGCUACAAUGGACAAUACAAAGGGCAGCGAAACCGCGAGGUCAAGCAAAUCCCAUAAAGUUGUUCUCAGUUCGGAUUGUAGUCUGCAACUCGACUACAUGAAGCUGGAAUCGCUAGUAAUCGUAGAUCAGCAUGCUACGGUGAAUACGUUCCCGGGUCUUGUACACACCGCCCGUCACACCACGAGAGUUUGUAACACCCGAAGCCGGUGGAGUAACCUUUUAGGAGCUAGCCGUCGAAGGUGGGACAAAUGAUUGGGGUGAAGUCGUAACAAGGUAGCCGUAUCGGAAGGUGCGGCUGGAUCACCUCCUUU